GACAUUUUAAGGGUUUGAAAGAUUGUUGAGACAGCCAGAUAGAGGUGGACACAGAGAAGUUAGAUGUAAAAGUUUUGAAGUAAGGGUAAGAGGGUUGAACUACAAGAUAGAUUGGGAAGUUAUCAGCCUAGCAGUGAUAUCACUGUGAGAGAAAAGAAGAAAACAAAGGGCAGAAUCUUGGAGAACAUCUUUAGAACCUUGCUACUCAAAGCAUGGUCAAUGGCCCAGCUGCACUGGCCCAGCAUCACCAGGGGAUUUGUUGGAAAGGUGGAAUCUCAGCCCUCCCCACCCCAGACCUGCUGAAUCAGGUCUUCAGUUGAACAAGAACCCCAAGUGAUUUGUAUCACAUUAAAGUUUAAGAAGCUCAGACCUAGAUGAGAAAAGCCAACAAAUAAAGAAGGGAUCUAAUCUAGAUAGAGAAGCCAGCAAAGAAAGAGAGGAGGAAGUGGGAGGAGAACCAGAGAAAUGCAGAAUCACCAAAGCAAGAUACAAUGGAGUUUCACAAAGACAGGGGCAGGAAGGAGGGUUGAUCACAAUAUCCAAAACCACAGAGGUCGAAAAGUUCAAGGAAAGAAGCUGGAUUAUGCAGAUGACUACAAGUCCCUGGGGUUGGCAGAACCACAAGAAAGAACGAGCCGGGAUGAAGGAGAGCUGCCCAUUGACCUGGAACACCCACUCUGGAUUAUUUUGUGAGCAAGAGCUAUUUGAAUCCUGGAACACCGUGGGGAGUGAGGGUUCUGGAUGCCCAUUUUGAUUCUUCUGAAACCAUGCCUGCUUCUUCUGGGUUCUGUACUCCAUUUCCA
Molecule: long non-coding RNA, 803 nt
Organism: Physeter macrocephalus (sperm whale)
Lineage: Eukaryota; Metazoa; Chordata; Mammalia; Artiodactyla; Physeteridae
Exons: 4
Source: RefSeq, a predicted model, not a curated record